Molecule: ribosomal RNA, 448 nt
Filed under: uncultured bacterium
Lineage: Bacteria
Description: partial 16S ribosomal RNA
Rfam family: Bacterial small subunit ribosomal RNA
Source: RNAcentral
ACCCAGACUCCUACGGGAGGCAGCAGUGGGGAAUAUUGCACAAUGGGGGGAACCCUGAUGCAGCGACGCCGCGUGAGUGAAGAAGUAUUUCGGUAUGUAAAGCUCUAUCAGCAGGGAAGAAAAUGACGGUACCUGACUAAGAAGCCCCGGCUAACUACGUGCCAGCAGCCGCGGUAAUACGUAGGGGGCAAGCGUUGUCCGGAAUCAUUGGGCGUAAAGAGUUCGUAGGUGGCACGUUAAGUCUGGUGUUAAAGGCGGAAGCUCAACUUCCGUAGGGCACUGGAUACUGGCGAGCUUGAAUGCGGUAGAGGUAAAGGGAAUUCCUGGUGUAGCGGUGAAAUGCGUAGAUAUCAGGAGGAACAUCGGUGGCGUAAGCGCAUUACUGGGCCGUAAUUGACACUGAGGAACGAAAGCCGGGGUAGCAAAUGGGAUUAGAUACCCUUGUAAA